GGGGAUUUAGCUCAGCGGCAUAAGCGCCUGCCUUGAAAGCAGGCAGCCAUGAGUUCGAUCCCCG
Cavia porcellus (domestic guinea pig) is the source of this 64-nucleotide non-coding RNA. The record is from Rfam. Lineage: Eukaryota; Metazoa; Chordata; Mammalia; Rodentia; Caviidae.